Molecule: long non-coding RNA, 577 nt
Organism: Capsicum annuum
Lineage: Eukaryota; Viridiplantae; Streptophyta; Magnoliopsida; Solanales; Solanaceae
Exons: 4
Source: RefSeq, a predicted model, not a curated record
UCAAGAAAAAUUAAAAACAAUAUUAUUUUUCUCCAUUCUUCUUCUAAACAAAAAAAGAGAAAUGAAUCAAAUUCUCAAAUUGAUUUUCUCUUCCCGUCAUCUUCUCCAACAAGGAAAUUGCAUACAAUUGAUCCCGUUGAACCUUAAACUGCUUUUGGAUUAGAAGUUGUUCUAUGUUGGGGUCAAAACAUAGAAACGAUCCCCAAACUAUGAAGAAACUACAUAAAAAUCUUGCUAAGAAGGACAAGAAACAAUAAAGUGGUCCUAAGAAAAGGGGAUCCAACAAUCCUUCAAGUAAAGCUCCCGCCAAGAGAAGAAGAAUUGCCGAAGAAAUUUGUAGAGAUGAGCUUCCUAAGGCGAGGUUGAAAAACUUGAUUUGCCGAGCACUAGUUUUGGAUCUGAUCACCAUGGUACAUCUUCGAUGCCAUCGUCAACUGAAAAUCAAGAUCAGAGAAGUUAUAGAGUGAAUUUACCCCAGUAUCUGCACCUCUGACAAAGACUAGAAAAGAUGUUCCUACAGGAAGAAGAUCAGAUUGUAAAAAACAAAUGCAGAUUCAAAAUACAAAAGAAAAACAGA